This is a long non-coding RNA of Aphis gossypii (cotton aphid), 280 nucleotides long. RefSeq lists it as uncharacterized. The record is from RefSeq and is a predicted model, not a curated record. The transcript is spliced from 3 exons. Lineage: Eukaryota; Metazoa; Arthropoda; Insecta; Hemiptera; Aphididae.
CAGGGAUGGCCAACAUGAACAUGUUCGUGAACCAAAUGGACACAAGAAUACAAUGAUACCAAUAGCCAAAAUGUUUAUAAAUAUGUUAUACAAACCACAUCUGACUAGUGACUAUGACUAAAGUUGCAGUUGGACACUCCUAACUUAUAGUAUAAAUGCUAAUGUGUCGCGUAAUAAAUCAACCCUCAAGUUGAUAAAACAGUUACUUUAGGAGAAAAAAUGUACGUCCCGGAGAAGUUAUCAAUCAUCGUGUCUUCAGCCCGGAAUCAGCUAAUGUUGU